UUCGCAACGAAACUUUGGAAUAUUACUAAUUUUGUGAUGCUCUUUCAAGCUGCGAUGAAAUUUUUGUCUAGAUCAAAAUUUAGUGUAUUACGCAAGUGGUCAAUUGAUGCACAUAUAUCAAUUGAAGAUCAUAUUCCCCUCUCUUCUUGAAAUUCACCAUAUACUUGCUGAGAACUUUUAGUUUGGUAAAGUCAUUUUGAUUUCAUAGCAAUAGGUUAAUUUACAAUUACAAUGAUUGUAUACUAAUUGGGUAUACUGUGAAUGGGUAUAUUUAUUUUUUAUUAUUUUUAUUCGUGUAAAUGGUAUGAUAUAUAGUUAGUGCAUUGUCUGUUGAACCUAUACUGAUGUUUACAUCGACUAAAUUAGUAUAUUUCCAGCAUAGAUAUCUUACAUGUAUAUACACUAGAUAGUAGAUAGCGCAUCUCUUUAAGUAAAAUUGAAGCCAAGAAUAUUCCAGCGGUUACCCCCAUUUGAAUAGAUGGCGGCCAUGUUGGAGUUUCCCACUCGCUAAUAAACGCUUAAAAAACAACAAUAACGUUCAUCAUUUGAACAGUUUGAAAAUGUAUUUGGAAUAGGUUUAACUUAAUGUUUAAGUUCCCUGUUUAAGAAAUAGAAAACAUACAGUAUGAGUCUUCUCAUUUCUUGGGAAUAUCCUGAGUCUGCAAUCACGGCUUCAAUUUUUGAAUUGCAUAAUAAUUAGAUGCACUAUCUAGUGUAUAUAAGAUAUCUAUGAUUUCCAGCCCAUAGUGAAAUUUGCGACAGCUGCACCAAAUUGGAACCCAAAUGACUCGAAUUCGUUUAUACGGUCUUUAAGCUUACUUGUUAUAUCAUUAUUUAAUUACACAUUAGAAGAAAAAAAAGCUAUAUGGUAUAUAUAAUAUUAUAUCAUGCUGACAUUUGCCACGCUCUUCAUCGACUACAACCAUUAAACAUGCUACUAGCUUAUGACUACCAGAAACCUAUAUAGACACAGUAAAUCAGUGUGAAUGUUAAUAUAGUUCCAAUAAUGAAAGUGUGCUGGAAUGUUCCGUGUU
Paramuricea clavata is the source of this 1034-nucleotide non-coding RNA. The record is from the annotation of a GenBank genome assembly. NCBI's taxonomy places the organism in Eukaryota, Metazoa, Cnidaria, Anthozoa, Malacalcyonacea, Plexauridae.